UUAAUUCCUUAAUUAUGUUUUUCUACAUAGUUUAUUGUUGAUGAAAGGUCUUUUUAAAGCUAAAGUUUGUUGAUUGUUUGAAUUGAAUGUUAAUUUAAUUUUUAGAUACUCAAAAUAACUCACCUUUCUUAGAUACUCAGAAAACAAAAACCAUAUACAUCCAAUUUCACAAUAUUACUCCAUUUCAUCUAAAGAUUACACUUUUAUACACUAUUGCUUGUCAAAUAAAUGUUCUGAUGAUCAUGUAAUCAAAAAACAAACAAAUUUUAUUGUGAGUUUUGUCAAAACAUGCCUAUCUUCCAAGUAUAAAAAUAUUCAAAAGUGAAGUUUUUGAGCAAACUCACUGUUUGAUGAAUUGCAUCAACCAAAUCCACCAUUAGAAUUAACUAUGGCAAAGCCUGAUUCAAUUGAGGUUUAUUAUCCCAAUGGAAUAUACAGAGUUAUUAGCAGAAAACCCAUGCCUGAAACUAGGUGGAUCAAUCUCUUGGUUUAACACGAUUGUAGACUUGAGAUUUGUACAGAGAAGAAAACCAUCUUAUCCAUUGCGGAUAUUAUUGCUUUGAUUGGAAAUAAGUGUGAUGGUGUGAUUGGGCAGUUGAUUGAGGACUGGGAAGAGACUUUGUUCUCUGCAUUGAGCAGGGGUAGGUGGUAAAACUUUCAGUAACAUGAUUGUUGGUUACAACAAUGUUGAUGUUAAUGCUGCCAAAAACUAUGGUGUUGCUGUUUGUAACACUCCUAGUUUUCGUAUUAUUGGACCUGUUGCACGUUCUACGUGUCCGAUUCUACAACACCUUUAGCAAGAUAUUGUGCACACAUUAAGGAGGUACAGUUGUAGGAACCGGAUUAAACACGCAAAAAGGAUAUGGAGUUUCACAAUGAAGUCAGCCUGCUGCAGACAUGAGCUUGUGAUACAAACAGUGCCAAGAGCCUUGCCAAACAGAUUAUGCACAAUUCGUGUGUUAGACUAUUUUGCUAAUUUUAUUCGCAAAGGCUAUUUACGCUCAUUCAUAAUUCUUACAGAACCUUCUACUAAAAUAUGAUCAGGAUUACUAAAUGUGUCACACUCAACAAGGUAACAUCUGCAUCAAGAAUGAAACAUUCCUAAAAAAAUUAUAUUACUGGUUUGAUCUUUGACAUGAAUGUUUCAUGAAUUCAUUUGGAUUUGGUGCAGGUUUUUAGCAUCUUCGGUUUUACUAAUGAAGACCACAUUGGCAAAAUAUUUUUUCCUACAGCUGAGAUACUUUCUGUUGUAUACUUAAGUCUUGAUGAUUGUACUAGGUUUUUCUUUAUAAUUUAUGCGUAGUUGCCUUUCAGUUUGUGUUAUCGUGGCUACCAUUGAUGAAAUGGGUUUUGGCUUUUGGUGAAGAUGUUUUUUGGGCUGUAUUAAAAACUUGGUAAAAAUAAUAACUUUUGGUUAAAUCAGAUUUGUUGUUUUUGGGGAGAGUAAAAAAUGAAGCCCUUUCUUUGUGCUUUUCUUGUCCAAUUUGUUUGUAUUUCCAUGUAAAUUUUGCUUUCUUGUUUUUGGGAGUGUUAUGGGAUUAUUAGUUGUGAUUUUUGUGAAUUUCACUUUCGUAAUCAAAUUUAAGGAAAUGUUGAUGAAGUAAUAUAAGGAGUAUGGAUCAGGUGUUUGAUAAAAAGACUUUGAGAAAAAACGUUGUGUAUCUCACGGUUUCUUUAACUUUGCUUCUUUCACCUAUGACCUAACAAAAGUCUCCCUCCUUCACCCGUAGACUGCCAACUCCUUUGCUUACAUCCCUCUCAUUUUUUCAGUUCUUUUUCGUAUUUCUAAGUUCGUGCUAAUCAAGAACAAAUCAAUUUGUUAAGUUUUGCAGUAUUAAAACUGAAGGAUCGAUUGAUUAUUUGGUUUCUUUACUUCAAUAUGUUUGGGUAUUUUCACUUGCUAGGCAAAUUUCUUGAACAACAACAAUUAUUUUGAAUUGAUGAGGUACUGUUUGGAUUUGAUUGGCUUUGUUUAUAAUUGUUUGUUUAAUUGAAUUUUUUGAUGGUUUUUAAAAUAGGUCCAUAAAUUAUUACAAAGUCUACAUCAAGUAUUGGUAAUAAUGCAGAGACCUAUAAUACUUGCUUCAUCUCAAUCAGAGUGCACAGCUGAGGAGGCUUAUACAUGGAGUAAGGUUCAACAUUCAACUUUUUAAGUGUUACAGACAUCAUUUAGAUGUGUUCAAGAUCAGUUCAAUCGUUUUCCUGGAGUUGAAGUUUUUUGGCAUACUUGCUACCAUGAUUAAAAAAAAAAAGAAAUCAUAAUAAACUCUAAAAUCAAAGAAAUAUUGCCAAUUAAUUUUGGUUGGUUGGUUAAGUGCCUAAGCACACAAUUGUUUUCCGAAAGUACGAACAAUGAUGAUGUCUUUCUCGUACGUGCGUCUUCUACAUGAUACACUAAAAGAUUCUUCCUGCAAGUUGCCUCUGUACAUUCUGGAAAACAUCGUUAUUCUUUUUGAAGGUUUUUUUAUGAUUGCAUUGUUAGCCCAAGUCUGUGUUGAUUCAUGUGGUUCUACCAAGAACCAUCCAGUCUAUAGCUCAAUCUCUAAGUUGUAAGUACAUUUUGUUCAAGCGGCUAUUUUCCGUGUUCAGUAUUUUUCUUAAAA
Molecule: long non-coding RNA, 2603 nt
Organism: Amaranthus tricolor (Joseph's coat)
Lineage: Eukaryota; Viridiplantae; Streptophyta; Magnoliopsida; Caryophyllales; Amaranthaceae
Exons: 6
Source: RefSeq, a predicted model, not a curated record